UGUCAAGGACGUGGCAAGGUAGCCAGA
Molecule: non-coding RNA, 27 nt
Filed under: Homo sapiens (human)
Lineage: Eukaryota; Metazoa; Chordata; Mammalia; Primates; Hominidae
Source: RNAcentral